UGGGGAAUUUUGGACAAUGGGCGAAAGCCUGAUCCAGCAAUGCCGCGUGUGUGAAGAAGGCCUUCGGGUUGUAAAGCACUUUUGUCCGGAAAGAAAUCCUUGGCUCUAAUACAGUCGGGGGAUGACGGUACCGGAAGAAUAAGCACCGGCUAACUACGUGCCAGCAGCCGCGGUAAUACGUAGGGUGCAAGCGUUAAUCGGAAUUACUGGGCGUAAAGCGUGCGCAGGCGGUUUGCUAAGACCGAUGUGAAAUCCCCGGGCUCAACCUGGGAACUGCAUUGGUGACUGGCAGGCUAGAGUAUGGCAGAGGGGGGUAGAAUUCCACGUGUAGCGGUGAAAUGCGUAGAGAUGUGGAGGAAUACCGAUGGCGAAGGCAGCCCCCUGGGCCAAUACUGACGCUCAUGCACGAAAGCGUGGGGAGCAAACAGGAUUAGAUACCCUGGUAGUCCACGCCCUAAACGAUGUCAACUAGUUGUUGGGGAUUCAUUUCCUUAGUAACGUAGCUAACGCGUGAAGUUGACCGCCUGGGGAGUACGUCGCAAGAUUAAAACUUAAAUGAAUUGACGGGGUCAUAGCUGUUUCCU
This 584-nucleotide ribosomal RNA is filed under the name uncultured bacterium. RNAcentral's name for it is "partial 16S ribosomal RNA". It matches the Rfam family "Bacterial small subunit ribosomal RNA", at positions 355 to 1375 of the family's 1533-position model. The record is from RNAcentral.